AGAAGAACUUCAGCACAAGCUUGCACAUACUCUGGAUAGAAAUGAGCAUCUUCCAGCCACUGUGGAUGAUAUUUGUGGAAAAUUUGAUAAGUAUGAAGAGGAAAAAG
Long non-coding RNA from Bubalus bubalis (water buffalo), 107 nucleotides. RefSeq lists it as uncharacterized. The transcript is spliced from 4 exons. The record is from RefSeq and is a predicted model, not a curated record. NCBI's taxonomy places the organism in Eukaryota, Metazoa, Chordata, Mammalia, Artiodactyla, Bovidae.